UACGUAGGGGGCAAGCGUUGUCCGGAAUCAUUGGGCGUAAAGAGCGUGUAGGCGGCCCGGUAAGUCCGCUGUGAAAGUCCAGGGCUCAACCCUGGGAUGCCGGUGGAUACUGUCGGGCUCGAGUCCGGAAGAGGAGUGUGGAAUUCCUGGUGUAGCGGUGAAAUGCGCAGAUAUCAGGAGGAACACCAAUGGCGAAGGCGGCUCUCUGGGGUGCACCUGACGCUGAUGCGCGAAAGCGUGGGGGGCGAACCGG
This 253-nucleotide ribosomal RNA is filed under the name uncultured bacterium. RNAcentral describes it as "partial 16S ribosomal RNA". It matches the Rfam family "Bacterial small subunit ribosomal RNA", at positions 524 to 776 of the family's 1533-position model. The record is from RNAcentral.